GCCUAUAAUGAAAGGAAAGGAGGAAGACGAAGAUUUUGUGGUUUAAGAAUCAAUGAGACCAGAACUGAAACUUGUGCUUAUUUACUCAAUUUGUUGAUCGGAAUCGAUGUGGCCGAAGAUAUCUGGACAGUUAUCCCAUGAUCCUCUCUCGCGGGCUUCCCAGUACCCUCCUUUGUAUCGAUCAACGUCAACGAUGUCACUCAUGCUACUCCUACGGCGGCGAUUACGCGACUUUGACCAUCUCCGGUGAUAAGAAAUCCACCCUUGUUUCCCCGCCUCCCGAAUCCGAUUCAAAAGUUAGAGAGUUUGAAACCCAGAAUCCGAACCAUGGUGAGAGAUCCAAUAGUUACUGACAGGAUCCGGUGGCAAGAAAGUCAAGAUUAACAACCACCACACAGCGAUUGGUGUGGAAACAGAGAUGGAUUUUGUAAGAACUCGGGAAUCGGAUCUUGGAUGUUAGUCGUUUGGUGAAGACCACAAUGAAGAUGAUGGAGGUGCUAGUCCAGUAUAGAGAGCAGGUAAAUAUUUGCUUAGCUGUUACAAUUUAUUUUAAAGAUAUUUAAAAUGAUUUAUAAGAUGUUAAUAAAUAGCGACAUUAGUUGAUACAUAGUUUGUUAAAUGAUAUGAAAUUGGUUACCGGUCUAACAAGUCAAAUAACAUUGCACGUCAAAACUUAGCAGUUACAUUUUAUAUAAUAUAUGUUUCCAUUAACCGAUACAUGUUUAGUUAGCUGUUAUAAAUCAUGUUAUCGUUUCUUAGGGGGGGUUAGUGGGGAGAUAAUUUACACUGAUUUCAAAAGUCAAGAGGAUUUUAAUUCUGUAAAUAUUUUCAUUGAUUCUGACAAUAUGUCUUCCCAUAUUUAUAGAAUCCAUAUAUUUUUUUGGUUUGAUUGGCGAUGACUUAUUGUGAUUUAUAUUAACUUUUGUCUACUAUUGUUUAUCCAUUUUCCAUAUAAUAUAUUCAAAAUAAGGUAUGUUCAAUUGUGUAUAAAGAAAAUGAGCCUCCUAGAAUUGUUCUUUGCUUUUUAUUCAUCAUCAAAGCUCGCAAGAUAAUACAAGUCUCCGGUUCUCACUUUUCUUAUCUUUUUUUUUUAUGAUCUAUUUCUCUGUUUUUCAUUAUAUCAUGUCUUAAAAUGGUUUGAUUUUUAUAUAUGUUGCUUUCAAGUUUACGUUUGGUUUCAUUAUUUUAUUUGUUUAGACUAGUAGCAAGAACCUUGAUGUUUACCUGUUUGUUUGUGAUAAAUAUUUUUGUGUGUAUGUUCUUACUAAUAUUGAUUAACUUCACAUAAGAUUGCAAUGGGUGAUAAACAGGAAAAAAAAAUCAGUAUAACUUAUGGAAUUCAGAGGAAACCAAGGUUUUAAUGGAAUUCAAAAAAAUCAGUAGCUUACUCACAACUAUUUAUAACUCAUUUUCAUUUGUGAUGGUGCUAUUUUAUGGAUUUAUCAUUUUGAUGUGAUGUUGUCUGACUGUCGAAUCUCUUUCAUAAUAUUUCUAUGGAUAAAAAAUUCUGGGUUUAUCAUUUUGAUGUGUUGUAGUGUGACUGUGCACGGAAUCUAUUUCAUAGUUAUAUAUAUAUAUAUAUGCAUGUUUGAUAAAAGAGAUUAUAUGAAAUUGAUAAUGCUUCUCACGUAUCAUAUUUGCAUGUUUGAUAAAAAAAAUAUUGAUUUUGUCAUCUCAACUUUGGGAAUACAUGGGUUAACUCUAGUAUUUUGAAAGUUGUGAGUAGUGAGUUAAAAUGUAAUGAAUCAUUGUUUCAAUAACACCAUAGUUUAAUAGAAUUACAAAAUCUAAAAAUACUUAACUUUUUGAAUAACAAAAGAUUUAUAUAGAAUUGUAAAAUCACCACACCAAUAACACCAAACUUUUUAGAACUUUAAGAAUCAUGUUACCAAUAACACUAGAAUCUUUAAAUUCUUCAACUCUUUAAAAAUCAAUCUCCCACUAACCCACCCCCCCCCCCCACCCCCCCCCCCCCCCCCCCCUUAAGUUGGUUGUCAAGAUAUUAAGAAUACAUAUCAACACCUGAUUAUUAAUUUGUUUUUUUUAUAAGAAACAUUAGUUCUGUUUAUACUGGAUAUCGAUUCGGUCUAACCGUGUUUUUUCUGUCUUUAGUCUGGUACACUAUAAUUACCAUUCGAAAUUCAUAUUUAUUUUGUUUUGUUCACUUGAAAUGUGUGAGGUUUUAUUGUUUUUUGGUAGAAAACCCAAAAUUAUUAUUAUUUGUUUGGUUUCAUGUUAUAUGCAUUUUAGGCUGUUUUGAUGUCUAACCAAUGGUUUCAUUUAAAAAUUUCUAAACGAAUGAAAAAUCAAACUAAAUAUAAAUAAUAGUUGAAGAAAAAAUACAUGUAAUAUUAUUUUUGUUGUUUGUAAAAACAAAUUAAAAUGACAUUUUAAAAUUAUGUUCAUGUGUAUAAGAUUAUUUAAUAUUAUUUUUCUGUUUGAAAUUUCGUAUAUGUUAGACAUAGUAUAAAAUCUGUAUAUUUAUAAUCAUUGAAAUUUUUUAUUGAGUUUAAUAAUAUAAAAUUUAUUAAUAGUAUUUUUAUCUAAUUUAUAUUUAAUCGUUAUUUUAAUUUAAUUUUUCCCUAACUCUAAUAUAAUUUAUAUAGUAAAAUAAUUAGAUUUUGAAUGAAUACUGAUAUUUCAAUCUUUUUAUUUCUAUGUUAUUGUUUACAGAAAUGGAUAUUAAGAAAAUACACAAAUAAGCCCAUUUGUAGCUUUUAAACCCACCAUACAAUAAUAAAAAAAUGUGCCAUGAAUAUUCGAUUGCUUUUGUGUGAUAUCUGACCCAUUACAAAAAAAAUCAGUUUACUCAUACCGAUUAAGAAAAAAAACUUUACCUUCCAUUCGGCCAUUUACCGUCUGCAGACUGCAUCUAUUUGAAGAAAGAAAAUCAAUCACCGGCUUGUUAAGACAAACAUCUCGCCUCCUCUCCGAUCCGUCACAUCAGCAUCCUCUUAAUCGGUGAUGAGAUCAACCUUUACAACGAACCUCCUUCCACGAUCGAUUUUACUUUCGUGCAGUCAUGGAAGAAAAUCACUAACAUGGACCUACCGUAGACUCCGUCUUCAUUCAUGAAACCUAGUCCUUAUACUGUGUCUUCGAUUCUGACGCAACUAUUCGCCAACUUCGUCCUCCCUUAAGCAUCUGAAAUUUCCGAGAUAGAGGUCAGUUUCCCAUUUUAGUUUCUUAGCUUUGAUCAUCAUUUUGUUCUAUUAGUAUGCAUCUGGUUGUUUGAUUUCAUCUGUCAAUACACCAUCUAGAUCAAUGCUAUUUUAAACUGCGAAACUUAGAUUUCGAAAUGGAAGGUCUUCGAAGACUAAACCAUUCGAAUAACACCCUACAAAAUAAAAAUAAAAAAUAGAAAUUUAGAAGAAAAAAAUAAAGCAUACAACAUUUAUAACAUUUCGUUAUAUGAAAAGUAAAGAUGCAUUGGAAUCUAUUAGAACCAUCUCAAUUGUUAUAGUACCAGCAGAAGAAUACUGCUUCUACAGACGAAUGAUGUUUAACCCUAAUUUUUCGCAUUGACUUAAAUGGUUUUAAAUCAGACACAUAAGUUACCGCAGCCAUUAUAGGAGAAUGAGAUAAACUUGUUAAGGUUUCGGGUGUAGUGAAUAAAUAAAAUUAUGUGGAGCAGCGAGUUUAUAUAGGUUUACUAAUAAUUCAAUAAACGUGGUAUAUCGGUAUAAUAUCGUAUUAAAUGGCAAAUAUUUUUACCUUGCCAAUCACUCUUAGAUAUAUAAAUUGCCAUAACAAAAAAAUAUGAAACAUAUAUCAUUUAAUAUAAUUAAUUUACCUUGCCAAUCACUCAAAAAUAUAAAUAUUAUCCAAACCUUAAUGCUAGCCGGUUUAAUUCGGGAUGGGUACAAUUCAUUGAUAUCGGUUUAGAAUUCUUAACCAUAUUAUUAAAAUUCACGUGUAAUAAAAUUGUAGUAUUUCAUUCGUUUUAAAAUUCACGUGUACUACGUGACAGUGACUCGUAGAGCAUGCUUGACAAUGGGAGACUGUAGUAAAAACUCUUAUAGUUUGUAUACAACUUGUUUUCAUUUGUGUCAAAACUGUUAUCGUUUGUGAAAAAAAAAUGCUACAAUGGCAUUCAUUGAUUUGAGACUGUUCACGAUACAAAGGAAGAGUGUUUUGUAGAGAAUGGUUGACAGUGUGAGACUGAUGUAAAAACUGCAUUAAAAAAAUAGAUGAAGCUUUGUGAUAGUAAAAACCAGGCCAUUGUUUCAUUCUUCCUUAUAGACAAUGCCAUGGCUACUACAAUAGAUGAUGCUUGCAGUAAUAGUUCUCAUUGUUUGUGUAAAAAAUUUUGGGUUUGCAUUAUCUUUCUACUAUUAACAAUGCAAUAGUUUGCUUCUUCCUUAUAGACCGUUGAUGCUCGAAUGUUCUCCUCUGCUUCUCUUCUCCGCUCUGUUUUUUUUUCUAAUAAACGUUUCAGCCAAGUACGCUGCAAAGUAAGCAUAUCAUCAAGGCUCACGCUCUCUAACUGCUGAUCGAUUACAUUCUAGCUCAGUUAGAUCUUUAUAUCUUAUGUUAUUAAGCCAUUGUAACAUCCCAAAGAGGAAACUGAGAGGUAUGAUUGAUCAUCUCUCGUCACUCGGCAAAAGAGUUACACUGGCUUCAACGAUCUCCCUAUUAUCCCACAUCAGAAAAGCAAUGAUACUCUCGAACCGGACACAUGUUCCCGCCGUGACCCAAACAUUGUGUACGCUAUGACUGAGUGUCUUGUAAAGAAUUGCCCACGCUACAACGUGAGAGUGACGUGUAUAGAAUGCUUGACAAUGUGAGACUGUUGUAUAAGCUAUUAUAGCUUGUGUACAUAGAUCGUUUGUGUGAAAACUGUUAUCGUUUUAUCUUCAAGUAUAUCAUGAUUCAAACUUGAUAGUUAUCACAAAAUGUGCUUAUAAAUAGUUGGCUUUUA
Molecule: long non-coding RNA, 4921 nt
Organism: Brassica rapa (field mustard)
Lineage: Eukaryota; Viridiplantae; Streptophyta; Magnoliopsida; Brassicales; Brassicaceae
Source: RefSeq, a predicted model, not a curated record